This 465-nucleotide ribosomal RNA is filed under the name uncultured bacterium. RNAcentral describes it as "partial 16S ribosomal RNA". It matches the Rfam family "Bacterial small subunit ribosomal RNA", at positions 28 to 507 of the family's 1533-position model. The record is from RNAcentral.
GACGAACGCUGGCGGCGUGCUUAACACAUGCAAGUCGAACGGAAAGGCCCCUUUUGGGGUACUCGAGUGGCGAACGGGUGAGUAACACGUGAGUAACUUGCCCUCGACUUCGGGAUAACUUCAGGAAACUGGGGCUAAUACCGGAUAGGUAUCCUUGCUGCCUGGUGGGGGGGGGAAAGCUUCGGGGGGUUUGGAUGGACUCGCGGCCUAUUUACUUGCUGGUGGGGUAGUGGCUUACCUAGGCUUUGACUGGUGGCCGGCCUGAGAGGGCGACCGGCCACAUUGGGACUGAGAUACGGCCCAGACUCCUACGGGAGGCAGGAGUGGGGAAUAUUGCACAAUGGGCGGAAGCCUGAUGCAGCAACGCCGCGGGCGGGAUGACGGCCUUCGGGUUGUAAACCGCUUUCAGCAGGGGCGAAGCUUGUGGUGACGGUACCUGCAGAAGAAGCACCGGCUAACUACGUG